Small nucleolar RNA from Prunus persica (peach), 82 nucleotides. It matches the Rfam family "Small nucleolar RNA U31b". NCBI's taxonomy places the organism in Eukaryota, Viridiplantae, Streptophyta, Magnoliopsida, Rosales, Rosaceae. The record is from Rfam.
GAAAAUGAUGAUACUGUUGUCGCCCCAGUCUUACUUGCAUCAACAGAUGCAAGAUGGUGAUGGACGUAUUCAUAUCUGAUUC